RNAcentral lists this ribosomal RNA (511 nucleotides) under uncultured bacterium. Its description in RNAcentral is "partial 16S ribosomal RNA". It matches the Rfam family "Bacterial small subunit ribosomal RNA", at positions 28 to 507 of the family's 1533-position model. The record is from RNAcentral.
GACAAACGCUGGCGGCGUGCCUAAUACAUGCAAGUCGAACGAACAGAUCAGGGGAUUUUUUCUGUGUGGUACGCGGCGGAUAGGGGCGGAUCGCGUAGAUAAGCUAGGUCAACGACUGUUGUAAAGGCGGGUAACCUGGAGUAAUCCCGGCUAAUAUAUUAAAACAACCUUUCUUAUCAUGAAGUACGGUGUUGAUGUGACUUAUGCAUUGAUCAUCCACGAUUUAGCUGCGUCUGAUUAGCUAGUUGGUGAGGUAAAGGCUUACCAAGGCGACGAUGAGUAGCCGACCUGAGAGGGUGAACGGCCACACUGGAACUGAGACACGGUCCAGACUCCUACGGGAGGCAGCAGUAGGGAAUCUUCCGCAAUGGGCGAAAGCCUGACGGAGCAACGCCGCGUGAGUGAAGAAGGUCUUCGGGUCGUAAAACUCUGUUAUUAGAGAAGAAAAAAUGUGUAAGUAACUAUGAACGUCAGGACGGUAGAUAAUCAGAAAGCCACGGCUAACUACGUG